RNAcentral lists this ribosomal RNA (497 nucleotides) under uncultured bacterium. RNAcentral describes it as "partial 16S ribosomal RNA". It matches the Rfam family "Bacterial small subunit ribosomal RNA", at positions 28 to 507 of the family's 1533-position model. The record is from RNAcentral.
GAUGAACGCUGGCGGCGUGCCUAAUACAUGCCAGUCGAGCGAACGGACGAGAAGCUUGCUUCUCUGAUGUUAGCGGCGGACGGGUGAGUAACACGUGGAUAACCUACCUAUAAGACUGGGAUAACUUCGGGAAACCGGAGCUAAUACCGGAUGAUAUUUUGAACCGCAUGGUUCAAAAGUGAAAGACGGUCUUGCUGUCACUUAUAGAUGGAUCCGCGCUGCAUUAGCUAGUUGGUAAGGUAACGGCUUACCAAGGCAACGAUGCAUAGCCGACCUGAGAGGGUGAUCGGCCACACUGGAACUGAGACACGGUCCAGACUCCUACGGGAGGCAGCAGUAGGGAAUUUUCCGCAAUGGGCGAAAGCCUGACGGAGCAACGCCGCGUGAGUGAUGAAGGUCUUCGGAUCGUAAAACUCUGUUAUUAGGGAAGAACAUAUGUGUAAGUAACUGUGCACAUCUUGACGGUACCUAAUCAGAAAGCCACGGCUAACUACGUG